CGUGCCUAAUACAUGCAAGUCGAGCGAACAGACGAGGAGCUUGCUCCUCUGACGUUAGCGGCGGACGGGUGAGUAACACGUGGAUAACCUACCUAUAAGACUGGGAUAACUUCGGGAAACCGGAGCUAAUACCGGAUAAUAUAUUGAACCGCAUGGUUCAAUAGUGAAAGACGGUUUUGCUGUCACUUAUAGAUGGAUCCGCGCCGCAUUAGCUAGUUGGUAAGGUAACGGCUUACCAAGGCAACGAUGCGUAGCCGACCUGAGAGGGUGAUCGGCCACACUGGAACUGAGACACGGUCCAGACUCCUACGGGAGGCAGCAGUAGGGAAUCUUCCGCAAUGGGCGAAAGCCUGACGGAGCAACGCCGCGUGAGUGAUGAAGGUCUUCGGAUCGUAAAACUCUGUUAUUAGGGAAGAACAAAUGUGUAAGUAACUAUGCACGUCUUGACGGUACCUAAUCAGAAAGCCACGGCUAACU
Molecule: ribosomal RNA, 477 nt
Filed under: Staphylococcus epidermidis
Lineage: Bacteria; Bacillati; Bacillota; Bacilli; Caryophanales; Staphylococcaceae
Description: bacterial SSU rRNA
Rfam family: Bacterial small subunit ribosomal RNA
Source: RNAcentral